ACACGCAUGACACACUGCAUAUCAAUAAGCGGAGGAAAAGAAACUAACAAGGAUUCCCUUAGUAACGGCGAGUGAAGCGGGAAGAGCUCAAAUUUGAAAUCUUCAAGGGUUCUACCUUUACGAAUUGUAGUUUAAUAGAAGUGUUUUCUGUUGGAGUUUCGGUAAAAGUUCUUUGGAAUAGGACAUCAUAGAGGGUGAGAAUCCCGUAUUUGACCAUUUACUUUCCAGCUGUGUGAUACACUUUCAAAGAGUCGGAUUGUUUGGGAAUGCAGUCCAAAAUGGGUGGUAAAUUUCAUCUAAAGCUAAAUAUUGGCGAGAGACCGAUAGCGAACAAGUACCGUGAGGGAAAGAUGAAAAGAACUUUGAAAAGAGAGUUAAACAGUACGUGAAAUUGUCAAAAGGGAAGCGUUUGACACCAGUGUUGUUUUUCCGAAAAUCAAUUACGAAUGUUUUGUUUUUGAGGAAGUUAUGACUUCAUCGGCUUGCUCUCUUCUUUAUGAAACUUUCUUAAUGCACUUUUCGGUUAACAAGUCAACAUCAAUUUCUUUUGUUGUAAAAGGGUAUGAGGAAGGUGGCUUUCUUUUCGGAGAAAGUGUUUAUAGCCUUGUGCCUCUACAAUCGGAGAGAUUGAGGUCCUGCAGCGUAGAUCCUUCGGGGUUAGAUACAGUUUGUGCUAAGUUAUAGCUUUUCAUAGACAACUUGUUGACUAUGUUUAGUCUUGUAGCUUACUCGCUGAUGCUAUUUUACCUACGCUUAGGAUGUUGACUGAUAUGUAGUCGU
RNAcentral lists this ribosomal RNA (780 nucleotides) under uncultured Neocallimastigales. RNAcentral's name for it is "partial large subunit ribosomal RNA". It matches the Rfam family "Eukaryotic large subunit ribosomal RNA", at positions 23 to 643 of the family's 3401-position model. The record is from RNAcentral. Lineage: Eukaryota; Fungi; Neocallimastigomycota; Neocallimastigomycetes; Neocallimastigales.